Molecule: ribosomal RNA, 531 nt
Filed under: uncultured bacterium
Lineage: Bacteria
Description: partial 16S ribosomal RNA
Rfam family: Bacterial small subunit ribosomal RNA
Source: RNAcentral
UGGGGAAUAUUGGACAAUGGGCGCAAGCCUGAUCCAGCCAUGCCGCGUGAGUGAUGAAGGCCUUAGGGUUGUAAAGCUCUUUCGCCGACGAAGAUAAUGACGGUAGUCGGAGAAGAAGCCCCGGCUAACUUCGUGCCAGCAGCCGCGGUAAUACGAAGGGGGCUAGCGUUGUUCGGAAUCACUGGGCGUAAAGCGCACGUAGGCGGAUUGUUAAGUCAGGGGUGAAAGCCUGGAGCUCAACUCCAGAACUGCCCUUGAUACUGGCAAUCUCGAGUCCGGAAGAGGUAAGUGGAACUGCGAGUGUAGAGGUGAAAUUCGUAGAUAUUCGCAAGAACACCAGUGGCGAAGGCGGCUUAUUGGUCCGGUACUGACGCUGAGGUGCGAAAGCGUGGGGAGCAAAACAGGAUUAGAUACCCCUGGUAGUCCACGCCGUAAAACGAUGGAGGCUAGCCCGUUUGGGCGANCAUUGCUCCGUCAGUGGCGCAGCUAACGCAUUAAGCCUCCCGCCUGGGGGAGUACGGUCGCAAGAUU